Molecule: ribosomal RNA, 237 nt
Filed under: uncultured bacterium
Lineage: Bacteria
Description: partial 16S ribosomal RNA
Rfam family: Bacterial small subunit ribosomal RNA
Source: RNAcentral
CGAACGGGUGAGUAACGCGUGAGGAACCUGCCUCAAAGAGGGGGACAACAGUUGGAAACGACUGCUAAUACCGCAUAAGCCCACGGCUCGGCAUCGAGCAGAGGGAAAAGGAGCGAUCCGCUUUGAGAUGGCCUCGCGUCCGAUUAGCUAGUUGGUGAGGUAACGGCCCACCAAGGCGACGAUCGGUAGCCGGACUGAGGGGUUGAACGGCCACAUUGGGACUGAGACACGGCCCAG